AGAAAUUAGUUAAACCCAUAACAUAUGCCUGUCACGCAUAAAUUAUCUUUUUAGAUAUUUCUU
RNAcentral lists this transfer RNA (63 nucleotides) under Tubuca arcuata. Its description in RNAcentral is "tRNA-Asp". The record is from RNAcentral. Lineage: Eukaryota; Metazoa; Arthropoda; Malacostraca; Decapoda; Ocypodidae.